This 23-nucleotide microRNA is filed under the name Human gammaherpesvirus 8. RNAcentral describes it as "microRNA-6". Lineage: Duplodnaviria; Heunggongvirae; Peploviricota; Herviviricetes; Herpesvirales; Orthoherpesviridae. The record is from RNAcentral.
UUAAUGCUUAGCCUGUGUCCGAU